Non-coding RNA from Acanthaster planci (crown-of-thorns starfish), 73 nucleotides. NCBI's taxonomy places the organism in Eukaryota, Metazoa, Echinodermata, Asteroidea, Valvatida, Acanthasteridae. The record is from the annotation of a RefSeq genome assembly.
GGACACUUAACUCAGUUGGUAGAGUAUCUGGCUCUUAACCAGAAAGUCACAGGUUCGAAUCCUGUAGUGUCCA